UCCUAUCAUUUCUGAGAGACACUUUCAACCCAGUCUCACCAGCCUUCCAGUUAGUUACCCCUGGCUAGGUAAGAGGCCUCGACCCUGUGUGGAGGGUCAGAGAGAAAGGAGAUUAAAUCUCUCACAGCCCCUUGUCCAGGGCACAGGGGCCUCAGGGUUCUCAUCCCGCUCACCCACCUUAGCCGGAAGGAGGAGUUCCAAGUUCAUGGCUAUCUGCAGUGAUCCAGUGUGAGCCGCUCUAGCACCUCGAUAGUAUAGGAAACCAUGCACAGGGCACAGAGCAACCGGGUAAGGUCUGCUUAGCCCAGGAACCGGACCUCUCUGAUGCUGCUGUGGCUGGUUCCUGGAUUAGGUGAUGUGUCCUUGGAGAAGCCUCUCUCAAUUCUUAAAUGAUACGCUCUUUGUGGCCAGAGCAGAAGUCUGGUGUAGCCGCUGGCUUUUCUGGAAAGGUAGGCCCUAUGGCAGGCAGUAGGAUGCCUCGAUUGAGCCUCAGUCUUCAGAGCCAAUCUGAUCGGAGCUGGGAUUAUAAUUUACUAUUGUCCGUGUGAUGAUGGACAAGUUCAAUACUGCGUAGGGUUACUGUGAGAGCUGAAGUGAAAAGAGUUUAUAAAAC
Molecule: long non-coding RNA, 613 nt
Filed under: Rattus norvegicus (Norway rat)
Lineage: Eukaryota; Metazoa; Chordata; Mammalia; Rodentia; Muridae
Description: long non-coding RNA NONRATT008243
Source: RNAcentral